RNAcentral lists this ribosomal RNA (305 nucleotides) under uncultured bacterium. RNAcentral describes it as "bacterial SSU rRNA". It matches the Rfam family "Bacterial small subunit ribosomal RNA", at positions 335 to 656 of the family's 1533-position model. The record is from RNAcentral.
GGCCUACGGGGCGCAGCAGUGGGGAAUAUUGGGCAAUGGGCGCAAGCCUGACCCAGCGACGCCGCGUGAGGGAAGACGGUCUUCGGAUUGUAAACCUCUUUCAGCAGGGAAGACAAAAGGACGGUACCUGCAGAAGAAGCCACGGCUAACUACGUGCCAGCAGCCGCGGUAAUACGUAGGUGGCAAGCGUUAUCCGGAAUUACUGGGUGUAAAGGGAGCGCAGGCGGCUUUGCAAGUCUGAUGUGAAAGGCCAGGGCUCAACCCUGGGACUGCAUUGGAAACUGUAAAGCUAGAGUGCCGGAGAG